Molecule: long non-coding RNA, 1277 nt
Organism: Oncorhynchus keta (chum salmon)
Lineage: Eukaryota; Metazoa; Chordata; Actinopteri; Salmoniformes; Salmonidae
Exons: 4
Source: RefSeq, a predicted model, not a curated record
GCCCAUAGACUCGAGGGGGUUAAAAGGUCAUAUAUUUUUACAGUUAAAUGAUGUCUUUACUAUAAAUAUUUUUUUUAAAUGAGGAGGGGUGGGGCCCUCCAAAUGAUUAAGUUUGUCCCUGGGUCCAGGUCCAACUUUUUGGAUAGGAGAAGGCCUCCAAUCUCUCCAAAAUAAAGACUCAAUUUAUAUAUUUUCAGCCCAGAGCUUCUCAUUCCAGACCCUAUUUGGGUGCCAAUUUGGUAUGAUUAAAUGACCAACCAAGUUUAUACCAACUUCUACCAGUCUGUAUGUUGAUUGCAUAUAUUACUUUCUAUUCUUAUCCCAAACAAAUUCACUGACCCUUGCUUUUACAUUUCUUUAAUGACCUGACUGGGUUGUUGUUCAAGAGAAAUAGACUGCUUGUGUCAGCUCAGAUGGUAAACAAUCACCUAGGAUCAAGACCAAAACCAGGAAAGGUAACCAAGCAGUAGGCGUGGCUUGGUUGACAUAAACAGUUGUGUCCCUUAGUAACCAGGUAAGUGGUCUCAGUUUGGCGUAGAGACUGAAAGCUGAUCGAAAGGUGUGGGACAUACGGCUAAAGAGCUACAGCGACUGGAGAAGGAGAGGGACAACAAGGACAGCAGAGCAGAGUCUGCCCCAUCCACCAACAGCUGAUGCCAUUUCUCUCUUGGUCUGUAGUUGCCCCAGCAGCCUACUACCUUCAUACAGCAGUUACCACAGCAACAGCCCUUCAUACAAAAGAUGCCCCCUCCUCAGCCAAACCAUGCACCACAGUCUGGGAGCAUCAAAGACAUGGUGGAGCUGAUGUUGAUGCAGAAUGCAUCAGAUCAUAAUGCACAACAUGAUGCUGAAAGCAAUGUCUCCCACGGCCCUGUCACCACCUAACCCAGGACAGGUCCGUUUCACACACACCCACAUCAUUUAUGUCAAAUCAAAUCGGAUUUAUCACAAGCGCCGAAUACAACAGAUGUAGACCUUACUGUGACAUGCUUACAAGCUCUUAACCAACAAUGUAGCUCAAGAAAGAGGGUCAGUCAAUGUAAAUAGUCCAGAUGGCCAUUUGAUUAAUUGUUCAGCAUGUUUGAUAAGCAUUGUUUUGGUAUAGCCAAAUAUGAUGGUUUUAUGGAGAAUUUGCUUCUUGGUACUGGCAACAAGUUGUAAAUUCAAAUGUGUAGGCCUACUAUGAUUCGUGGCUGCUACAGAGAAUAUGCAAAUGAUAAAGGUAUGUAAACAUGCAUCAUGACUUCAAAAUAAAUAAAACAAGAUUUGCAAACAUG